Molecule: ribosomal RNA, 950 nt
Filed under: uncultured bacterium
Lineage: Bacteria
Description: bacterial SSU rRNA
Rfam family: Bacterial small subunit ribosomal RNA
Source: RNAcentral
AGUGAACGCUGGCGGCGUGCUUAACACAUGCAAGUCGAACGAGAACGGAUUAUAGCUUGCUAUAAUUGUCAGCUAAGUGGCGCACGGGUGAGUAAUAUAUAGGUAAUGUGCCCUAGAGAGGGGGAUAACAGAUGGAAACGUCUGCUAACACCCCAUAUGCCUUUAAGACUUAAGUCUGCAAGGGAAAUAUUUAUAGCUCUAGGAUCAGCCUGUACAGUAUCAGCUAGUUGGUGAGGUAAUGGCUCACCAAGGCAAUGACGCUUAACUGGUUUGAGAGGAUGAUCAGUCACACUGGAACUGAGACACGGUCCAGACUCCUACGGGAGGCAGCAGUGGGGAAUAUUGCACAAUGGACGAAAGUCUGAUGCAGCAACGCCGCGUGGAGGAUGACACAUUUCGGUGCGUAAACUCCUUUUAUAUGGGAAGAUAAUGACGGUACCAUAUGAAUAAGCACCGGCUAACUCCGUGCCAGCAGCCGCGGUAAUACGGAGGGUGCAAGCGUUAUUCGGAAUCACUGGGCGUAAAGAGCGUGUAGGCGGGUAUAUAAGUCAGAAGUGAAAUCCAAUAGCUUAACUAUUGAACUGCUUUUGAAACUGUAUACCUAGAAUGUGGGAGAGGUAGAUGGAAUUUCUGGUGUAGGGGUAAAAUCCGUAGAGAUCAGAAGGAAUACCGAUUGCGAAGGCGAUCUACUGGAACAUUAUUGACGCUGAGACGCGAAAGCGUGGGGAGCAAACAGGAUUAGAUACCCUGGUAGUCCACGCCCUAAACGAUGCACACUAGUUGUUGUGAGGCUAGACCUUGCAGUAAUGCAGUUAACACAUUAAGUGUGCCGCCUGGGGAGUACGGUCGCAAGAUUAAAACUCAAAGGAAUAGACGGGACCCGCACAAGCGGUGGAGCAUGUGGUUUAAUUCGACGAUACACGAGAACCUUACCUGGACUUGACAUAGUA